UAUUAAAAUUCCUGUGCCCCACAGACGAACAAGAGGCCUUGAACUCCAUCAUGAAGGACCUGGUAGCACUCCAGAUGAGUCGACGUCACAGGCUGACUGGAUUUGAUACCAUGAAGAAUAAAGACACCUCUCACUCCAACAAACAGAAAAAGCACAAUGCCAGCAGUCCACCCCUCUUGGGCAGCCCUGCAAUAGCAAACCAGUGUGCCUCUGCAGUGGAAGAAAAAAAAUUCCGAACGAUGUGAGGAUAAAGUUUGAAUAUAAUGGGGAAAGACGAAUUAUCCCAUUUGUCCGUCCCGUGCGCUAUGAAGAUGUGCAACAGAAAGUGAAAACAGCCUUUGGGCAGCCUCUGGACCUCCACUACCUGAACAAUGAGCUUUCUAUUCCUUUGAAAAACCAAGAUGACCUGGAUAAAGCAGUAGAUCUCUUAGACCGAAGCUCUAAUGUGAAAAGCCUUAGAAUAUUACUGCUUUCUCAGGACAGAAACCAUACCAGUUCUUCACCCCAUUCUGGACUGCCCAAACAAGUCAGGAUUAAAACCUCCCAAUCUGUGGGGGAUGUGAACACACCCUAUCAGCAGGCAGAGCCCCGAAGCAGGCACCUUUCUGUCAGUGAGUAUUUCUGUCACUUUUUG
Molecule: non-coding RNA, 634 nt
Organism: Meleagris gallopavo (turkey)
Lineage: Eukaryota; Metazoa; Chordata; Aves; Galliformes; Phasianidae
Source: RefSeq, a predicted model, not a curated record